CAAUAGCGUAUAUUAAAGUUGUUGCAGUUAAAAGCUCGUAGUUGGACUUCUGGCAGGGCGCCGCGUGCCACAGUAGUGUGCACAAGGGCCCGGCCAUCCUUCUGUAAACGUCGGGGAAGUUUAUUCGUCCGCGGCGGGAUCAGUUAAUUUACCUUGAGAAAAUUAGAGUGUUUCAGGCAGGCGUAGCCGGAAUACAUUAGCAUGGAAUAAUAGAAUAGGACUUUUGCCUCUUCUGUUGGUCUGAGGGGUGUAAGUAAUGAUUAAUAGGGAUAGUUGGGGGCAUUAGUACUUAACUGUCAGAGGUGAAAUUCUCGGAUUUGUUAAAGACUAACUUAUGCGAAAGCAUUUGCCAAGGAUGUUUUCAUUAAUCAAGAACGAAAGUUAGGGGAUCAAAGACGAUCAGAUACCGU
RNAcentral lists this ribosomal RNA (410 nucleotides) under uncultured eukaryote. RNAcentral's name for it is "bacterial SSU rRNA". It matches the Rfam family "Eukaryotic small subunit ribosomal RNA", at positions 592 to 1018 of the family's 1831-position model. The record is from RNAcentral.